UGGGGAAUAUUGCACAAUGGGCGAAAGCCUGAUGCAGCAACGCCGCGUGAGCGAUGAAGGCCUUCGGGUUGUAAAGCUCUGUCUUUUGGGACGAUAAUGACGGUACCAAAGGAGGAAGCCACGGCUAACUACGUGCCAGCAACCGCGGUAAUACGUAGGUGGCAAGCGUUGUCCGGAAUUACUGGGCGUAAAGAAUGCGUAGGUGGAUAUGCAAGUCAGAUGUGAAAUACCCGGGCUCAACUUGGGUGCUGCAUUUGAAACUAUAUAUCUAGAGUGCAGGAGAGGAAAGCGGAAUUCCUAGUGUAGCGGUGAAAUGCGUAGAGAUUAGGAAGAACACCAGUGGCGAAGGCGGCUUUCUGGACUGUAACUGACACUGAGGCAUGAAAGCGUGGGGAGCAAACA
This 402-nucleotide ribosomal RNA is filed under the name uncultured bacterium. Its description in RNAcentral is "bacterial SSU rRNA". It matches the Rfam family "Bacterial small subunit ribosomal RNA", at positions 355 to 774 of the family's 1533-position model. The record is from RNAcentral.